GCCGACGGCCAUAGAAGCGGGGGAAACACCCGGACUCAUUCCGAACCCGGAAGUUAAGCCCCGCUUCGUUCCGCGUUGUACUGUGUUCCGAGAGGGCACGGGAAGCGCGGAAGCUGUCGGCU
Molecule: ribosomal RNA, 122 nt
Organism: Archaeoglobus veneficus SNP6
Lineage: Archaea; Methanobacteriati; Methanobacteriota; Archaeoglobi; Archaeoglobales; Archaeoglobaceae
Source: Rfam